Chelonia mydas (Green sea turtle) is the source of this 3974-nucleotide long non-coding RNA. RefSeq lists it as uncharacterized. The transcript is spliced from 4 exons. The record is from RefSeq and is a predicted model, not a curated record. Lineage: Eukaryota; Metazoa; Chordata; Testudines; Cheloniidae.
ACAGGAGGCUGGAGCGGAGAGGAGGGGAGGAGUUACAAGGGCUCCAUCCGGAUGGACGCGCUGCACCGCCCGCUUCCUUUGCCCGGGAGAGGCUGCUCUCAGCGGAGCCCUUUGCUAGGGACCUGUCUGCCGGAAGGGAGCUGGCAGUGAGGUAAAGGAGAACAGAGGUUCUGUGACUGUAACUCGUUGUAGAGAAGAUUGGGACCACACUAAAAUCUCUGGAUCCAAAAAAUACCUAGGAUAUGAAGAAGUCGUCUACGGACAGUGCAGUGUGGAGUAACUUCCCAAACAUGAGCAUGCAUCAGUUUGUCUUCCAGGAACAAACUAGUCCUGCAAAGAGAAAAUAAAACAACCACUGGAUGAGUGAGUACUGCAGACCGCUGUCAUUCAUCACAUCAACAGAUUCUCUCGUCUUUUGGAACCACAGGUGGAUUGACAUGCUGUGGACAAGCUAGGCAAAAGGCUUCUUCCACUCCUCCCACCCCACACCAGGGAUCCAUCAGGGGUCUCUCUCCACUCCACCCUGAAGCCUUAGAUGGUCAGCAUUGUGAAGGGGAAAAGCAAAAAGCUGUCUCAGCCUUAACGGUAUAGGUCUUUCUGCCUCCACUGUAAAGCCUGAUUAGCUGAGCUGGCAGUCCCUAAAGUUGAAGCCAGUCAACCAUUCCCGAUUUUGGGUUCAGGUCUAGAACGUUAAUAACCCUGUCAUUUCAGAGUGGCAAGUUUUGUUGUCUAAUUCCUGUACUGGAGCAGCAAAAGCUGGCACUUCUUACAAACUUCUUGAAGUUCGCUCUCCUUUUAAGCAACUUCCUGUGGCCCUUAUGCCUUUCUAAAGUUGCCAUCACCAUAUCCCUAUGCUGCUCCCUGAGUCUACUCUACUCUCACUCCUGUUUAGCUCCGUAUGUAUCUGUAGGGUACAAGUCAUGUAGACUCCAAGGUGCGUAAUGUUCCAGCUAAGUAUUAUACAAUAAAGUUGAUAGUUUUUUGGCAGAACAACAUGAAAAUAUUUUUGCUUAAAGGGACUAUCAUGUUUAAAUAGGACUUUUGGCAGCUGUAAUCUAGUCUUAAAAAUAAAAUAUUAACAUGGGAAAGGAAGGAUGACAUCUAGGUAGGUAUUGGGGGCUCCAAGUAUUUAAAGCAUAGUUCUGCUAUGAAACCAUUUCUGUAAAAGUGGCACCUUUUUUACAUGCAGGGAACAGAUAUGUUAAGUUUUAAGAGUCAUAGCUACUUAUGUGAGCCACAGAAAUGAGUUUUUACUCCUACAGAGUCAACACAGCUCUGAACAAGUGAGCUGGAUUACAUUCUGGCUCAUGCAUUGUGAGCAGAAACGUUGCAUAAAUUCCAACUGUUGGACCAAAUUCUGCCCCCUCUAACAUCUGUACAAUCCUGGCACAGCAGGCCUCUUGUGUGCUUUCUACACUCAUGUGAAUUUUGGCCCAUGUGAGGAAUGUUAGAUUUCUGAAAAGUUACCUGCCUGGGUUUGUGUGCAUUAUUUUUCUGUUAUGCAGGUUGGUGUUUUUAAAAGACACUCUGCAUGAAUAAAUAAAAAAUAGAAAAAUAAACUUCUGCAGCACGUGGCUGUGGCAUCUCAGUGAUACUUUCAACAGCUCAGAUCAGUCAAGCAAUCAAAGGGCAAGACAGAGUAGGCAUGCCUUUGCUUUGCCUGUUGUAAAAAAAUCAAACUCAGACUUUGCACCAAGCAGAGUUCUAAGUUAUAAAAAAGUUCUGUUGAUAUCAUUGUAUUAUAGAGAGCACUUUAUCUAAGCUGCCUCUUGAAACCCAUGAUCGGGCCAUUAGCUGUAUCAUAUAAGAGUGUGUAUAGUCUAUUAAUCCCGCACUGUUUGAGUAGAACUUUCAAUAAAAGCAGACCAGUUAAUGCUAGUGCUAAACAUUUCAUUAAUAAAUUUCUGUGCAGUCUCUAAAAUGCUUGUGGGAGAAGCACAGUAAAGUGAAUAAGGACUGUAUAGUCUCAGUCUUUGCAGAUGCUGGAUCCUUCUUAAUGCAGAUGCUGUAUAUCCAGUACUAGGAAGUUCAGCUCAGUGAACUGCAGUGGUGCCGAAAAAUGAACUGUAAUGCUGAAUUAGCAAGUGAGGAGCAACAACAGACUGUUUUUUCUAUAGCGUAGUGGAAGAACUGUUUACAGUAACUGAAAUCUAAGUAGUUUACAGGAAAUCUUUUCAGAAGCCAUUAUCAGGGUUACUUUAAAAAUACACCUGCGCUCUUUAUAGCUAAAGUCUGUAUAUUCUUAAAUAUAAAGUGACCUAAAGAGCACUACUCUUCCAAAGAGUCACAUGAUCAGCGUUUGCCCACCUGCUCAUUCCAUACAUAAGCCCUCCUGAUGCUGCCAACUCCUCCUGUUCUUUUGUUUUGGGGGAGGCGCUCCCUCUUUAUUUGUUAUGUAAAGAGCCAUGCUUAUCUAUGGCUCUAUAAUUAUCAAAUGAUACUAGUUCAAAUGGCAGUGCACGUGACUGAAGUUACACACGAUGACUGAAAAUAGCAAUAGAUACUGGCUGCUUAGUGAUGCCAAAAGUGACUAAGGAACAAUUGUCCUCAAAAUCAAUUGCAAAAUGUGCCACGCAACACCUGCAUUAUGAGAAAAGAAUCAGAACUGUCCUAACCUUUAUCAGUCAGGAGUUCCUGGUGUAGUGGAUUCCCAUGGUAUUGAAAGCAGAGUCAUCUGUAACAAUGGGGGCUUUGUCCUGCACAAUUACUACCAAAGUAGCCCGAGACUUCCGUCAGACUGCUAGAAAUAUGUCUGGAGUGGGAUGAAUCUGGCAAAGCACUACUAAACCGCUGUAUUGCCAGGCCCAGGACUCUUGGACAGCUGCACAGACUGACAAUUUCAGUGCAGUGCUGAAAAAGGAAACUUUAAGGCUUCUAGAGGACUGAAAUAGCUCUGCAUAAAUUCACCAUACUACUGCGUAAAGACUCAUGAUUGUUCUACCCUCUAGAGGCAGCAAAGAGGAUAUAAGUGCUAUUAAUGAUAGCUAAUUGAGAUUUUAAAUCAGGACUGCUAUUUCUUUGGGCCCAACUCUGCAUCCCUCACCUGCUCAAAACUCCCAUUGAAAUCAAUGGGAAUUUAGGUGAGCAAGGAAUGCAAGAUUAAGUUCUAUAUUACACUUCACUUUCUAAUUUUCUGGAACAGCAGCUUAAGGUAUAAGAACAUUCACCAUUACACCUAAGUGUGCAUCAUCUUAUACAGUCUUUGUCAUGACUAUGACACCCUCUGACACCCCAUUAUGAAACUCCUCCAGUUCUUUUGCUGCACUGAGGAACAUCAGCUGACAACAUGUAUUUAUGUGUAGGCUUAAGGGUGGCAAUUUAAGACCUUCCUUUCUUGGAGAUUGCCUGAACCUUCAAACAUACUGGAGAGCUGGAACCUCAGCUACAGAAGCUGACAUGAGGCUUGUGACUUUGGUGGCAGAGAAAUCUAUGGCCUUUUCAGUGUCCCAAGUACUGAAGAGUGCCCUAAAAUUGGUCAUAGAGGGCUCCUAAAUGUGGACUGAGGCCCCUUCAGCACACGGAACCAUCCCCACAGAUAUGGAUGAUAGUAGGUAUAAAUCUGCUCUCCAGGAUACAGCAAGGCUGCUAAAAAAGAAUGAUUUGUUGAGCUGACAAGAUUGGCUCUGAAGGAUGUCUACCUAUCAUUUCCCAAAACUGCUAAAGUACCCAGAGUUCUUAUAAGACUAGUGUCCCUUUCAGUUUAUCAUUGAUUUCAUUCUACUUCACAAAGCUCCUAAGUUUACAUAGCUUUGAGGAUUAGGGGCAUCGGAGAGAUACUGGACCUAGAUGGCAUACUGAUUACCUCCCUGAAGAUAGAGCCAGUGCAGCAGGAGAAGGAUUUAAGCAAUCCACAUCCUAGAAGGGUUUGGCAUCCUUAUGAUAAUGUAAAAAUAUUACACAGCCUUACAAGAAAUAAGAACUCAUGGUCUCCCAGAAAAGGAAAUGUUCAAACUUCCCCUGUAAACAGAGGACUA